Molecule: ribosomal RNA, 253 nt
Filed under: uncultured bacterium
Lineage: Bacteria
Description: partial 16S ribosomal RNA
Rfam family: Bacterial small subunit ribosomal RNA
Source: RNAcentral
UACGUGAGGGGCGAACGUUGUUCGGUGUCACUGGGCUUAAAGGGCGCGUAGGUGGCUGUGCAAGUAAGGUGUGAAAGCCCUCGGCUUACCCGGGGAAUUGCGCCUUAAACUGCAUGGCUUGAGGGAUUCAGGGGAAUGGGGAACUCCAGGUGUAGCGGUGAAAUGCGCAGAUAUCUGGGGGAAGGCCGGCGGCGAAGGCGCCAUUCUGGGAAUUUCCUGACACUGAGGCGCGAAAGCGUGGGGAGCAAACAGG